GACGAACGCUGGCGGCGUGCUUAACACAUGCAAGUCGAACGGAAAGGCCCUGCUUUUGUGGGGUGCUCGAGUGGCGAACGGGUGAGUAACACGUGAGUAACCUGCCCUUGACUUUGGGAUAACUUCAGGAAACUGGGGCUAAUACCGGAUAGGAGCUCCUGCUGCAUGGUGGGGGUUGGAAAGUUUCGGCGGUUGGGGAUGUACUCGCGGCUUAUCAGCUUGUUUGUGGGGUAGUGGCUUACCAAGGCUUUGACGGGUAGCCGGCCUGUGAGGGUGACCGGCCACAUUGGGACUGAGAUACGGCCCAGACUCCUACGGGAGGCAGCAGGGGGGAAUAUUGCACAAUGGGCGGGAGCCUGAUACAGCAACGCCGCGUGCGGGAUGACGGCCUUCGGGUUGUAAACCGCUUUCGCCUGUGACGAAGCGUGAGUGACGGUAAUGGGUAAAGAAGCACCGGCUAACUACGUG
Molecule: ribosomal RNA, 468 nt
Filed under: uncultured bacterium
Lineage: Bacteria
Description: partial 16S ribosomal RNA
Rfam family: Bacterial small subunit ribosomal RNA
Source: RNAcentral